UCCCAGUGAAGAAACACUCAGACAUCUUACCUCCUGUCCUAGUCCCAGAGCCUGUAAAGGCAAAACCACUGGGGCUGGCUGGGGGCGAAGAGGAAAGCUUGCUCCAGAAGGAACUGUCUGAGGGAU
This is a small nucleolar RNA of Balaenoptera musculus (blue whale), 126 nucleotides long. Its record names the gene SNORD22. It matches the Rfam family "Small nucleolar RNA SNORD22". Rfam says of the family: U22 is a member of the C/D class of snoRNA which contain the C (UGAUGA) and D (CUGA) box motifs. U22 is encoded within the U22 snoRNA host gene (UHG) in mammals and has also been identified in Xenopus. U22 is thought to as a 2'-O-ribose methylation guide for ribosomal RNA. Lineage: Eukaryota; Metazoa; Chordata; Mammalia; Artiodactyla; Balaenopteridae. The record is from Ensembl.